RNA transcript from Glycine soja, 1993 nucleotides. It is a transcript of the gene named ribosomal RNA small subunit methyltransferase G-like, with no coding region annotated. The transcript has 6 exons. The record is from RefSeq and is a predicted model, not a curated record. NCBI's taxonomy places the organism in Eukaryota, Viridiplantae, Streptophyta, Magnoliopsida, Fabales, Fabaceae.
UGCUUAUCCUCUUCAUCCAUCCCAUCCCACCCCACCCCACUAAUCCACUAUCCAGAAUCUUCCACCGCACCCCACCGUCUAGAAUCUCCCAUCAUACCCCACCUCGCGACACUGCAACUUUGGGCUCGGUAGUCCACUUUCCCACCGGCCUCUGCCAGCAGCUUCACACCUGACUCCGACUUCAGUCCCGUCACAGAGAGGAGCACGGUGUGGCUGUCGUCGGAGUCGAUUGACGCCAUUCGAGCUCUGAGUUUUUUUUUUCUUUUUCAGAUCUGAGAUUGAUGAGAAAAUGUGAGUCGUCGGUGUCGUUUUCACCGUUGCCAGAGUUGGAGUACCACAGAGCUUAUCGCGCCGCAGUUCCGCAAAUCUAGUCCCGGAGUGUUGUUUUGGCAAACAUGAUAAAACUAAAUAAAUUGGAAUCUAAUCAAUCUAUGGCCACAGAUAGUGAGGGGAAAGUUUUUCCGCUUUCACCAUUAAUUUGGUUUUCCAUUCUCAGUGUGACAUUGUAAAUUAAUUAAGGCAAAACCACAAAAGUGAUAUGUUGAUCGUUGAGGGAAAUUGAAGCCUUACAUACGGUGGGAAUUAGUUUUUUUUAAAGGAUAAAAUUGACUUUUCAACAACAAAAUUAGUGUUGCACCGGUGGACAACUUACUUGCUAUUUCACGGUAGCCUACGCUGGGCUAUAAGGCCUUAUGGGUCAGAAAAUUGAGUUUGGGCCUUUGACUUCAAUGUGAACCCAAGGCACUGAAGGCAACUAGCUAAUUAAGCGUAAGUUGUAAAGCGCGCGGGAGGAAAUGCUGCCGAGUACUAGUAACUUAAAGUUUUCUCGGUGGACUUUCUUCAAACACCUUACGCCACGGAAAUUCAAAUUAACACCACCGCUCUGUCAGCACAAAUCCCUUGCCACUCUCUCCCACUUCGGAACCCUAACCUCCCGCCAGAAAGACCAGAUUCAUCUAUACGUUGAAACUCUUCUGCAAUGGAACAAGGUAUUCAGUUUCUCCCACUCACACAACACAACACAAACGCACACUCUCCCUUGACAUGUUACACAUAACAAUUGCAAUUGCUGCGCAUGAACCUUACAGCAGUUAGAGAGGUGAAUGAAGGGAUGGAAAGACACGUGGAAGACUCCGCUCGCACUGCGGCGCUUCGUGCAAUAAGCUGAGUCUCGUCGAUGUCGGAACUGGCGCUGGCCUUCCCGGAAUAGUUUUGGCCAUAACACGCCCUGAGUGGGAUGUAACGCUGAUGGAGUCUAUGAACAAGCGGUGCGUCUUCUUGGAGCACGUUGUCGGUGUUAUCGGUUCCUCAAACAUUCAAAUUGUAAGAGGAAGAGCAGAGAGUUUAGGGCAGGAUCCUUGCUUCAGAGAGCAAUUUGAUGUAGCAGUGGCCAGGGCGGUUGCAGAGAUGAGGAUAUUAGCUGAAUAUUGUCUUCCUUUGGUUCGUGUUGGUGGGUUGUUUAUUGCUGCCAAGGGUCAUGAUCCUGAGGAUGAAAUUAAAAAAGCUGAAAGUGCCAUCCAGAAGGUGGGUGCAUCUCUAUUGCAAGUAUGCUCAGGUUUUUAAAGUUUAUAUUCUGAAUGAAGUGGACUGAUAGGGAAGUAGAAGCAGGGAACACAACACAGGGAGCAGCAAACAACAUCAACAAAGCCCAAGCAACAGAAAACAUAAACAGGGAAGGACAGAGGGUACCAAUAGCAAACAAACCCAAGAGAAGAGUAACAAGGCCCUCAUACAUGAAGGAUUACGCCUGAGGGUAGGAUGGGCAAGGCAAAAUCAGCAGCAUCAGCUCAGCACUAAAACGUAUCUAGCUUGAUUGUGCUUGUCUCCUAUAGUAGGACAAGAAUAACAAAUUCCAUUAGGAAGGAUAUUCCCGUAGGCAAAUGAAUCCAAAUUCUGUUAGAAGGAGGAUCCUAUAUAUAUCAAUGUAAAUAAUCAAUCAAGCACAAUGAAAAAUAUACUUUACUUACAAUUUGCAAUUUCUUUCUUCCCUUUA